CACUGUUUCGGCAAGGGGGUCAUCCCGACUUACCAACCCGAUGCAAACUGCGAAUACCGGAGAAUGUUAUCACGGGAGACACACGGCGGGUGCUAACGUCCGUCGUGAAGAGGGAAACAACCCAGACCGCCAGCUAAGGUCCCAAAGUCAUGGUUAAGUGGGAAACGAUGUGGGAAGGCCCAGACAGCCAGGAUGUUGGCUUAGAAGCAGCCAUCAUUUAAAGAAAGCGUAAUAGCUCACUGGUCGAGUCGGCCUGCGCGGAAGAUGUAACGGGGCUAAACCAUGCACCGAAGCUGCGGCAGCGACGCUGAUGCGUUGUUGGGUAGGGGAGCGUUCUGUAAGCCUGUGAAGGUGUGCUGUGAGGCAUGCUGGAGGUAUCAGAAGUGCGAAUGCUGACAUAAGUAACGAUAAAGCGGGUGAAAAGCCCGCUCGCCGGAAGACCAAGGGUUCCUGUCCAACGUUAAUCGGGGCAGGGUGAGUCGACCCCUAAGGCGAGGCCGAAAGGCGUAGUCGAUGGGAAACAGGUUAAUAUUCCUGUACUUGGUGUUACUGCGAAGGGGGGACGGAGAAGGCUAUGUUGGCCGGGCGACGGUUGUCCCGGUUUAAGCGUGUAGGCUGGUUUUCCAGGCAAAUCCGGAAAACUAAGGCUGAGGCGUGAUGACGAGGCACUACGGUGCUGAAGCAACAAAUGCCCUGCUUCCAGGAAAAGCCUCUAAGCAUCAGGUAACAUCAAAUCGUACCCCAAACCGACACAGGUGGUCAGGUAGAGAAUACCAAGGCGCUUGAGAGAACUCGGGUGAAGGAACUAGGCAAAAUGGUGCCGUAACUUCGGGAGAAGGCACGCUGAUAUGUAGGUGAAGUCCCUCGCGGAUGGAGCUGAAAUCAGUCGAAGAUACCAGCUGGCUGCAACUGUUUAUUAAAAACACAGCACUGUGCAAACACGAAAGUGGACGUAUACGGUGUGACGCCUGCCCGGUGCCGGAAGGUUAAUUGAUGGGGUCAGCGCAAGCGAAGCUCUUGAUCGAAGCCCCGGUAAACGGCGGCCGUAACUAUAACGGUCCUAAGGUAGCGAAAUUCCUUGUCGGGUAAGUUCCGACCUGCACGAAUGGCGUAAUGAUGGCCAGGCUGUCUCCACCCGAGACUCAGUGAAAUUGAACUCGCUGUGAAGAUGCAGUGUACCCGCGGCAAGACGGAAAGACCCCGUGAACCUUUACUAUAGCUUGACACUGAACAUUGAGCCUUGAUGUGUAGGAUAGGUGGGAGGCUUUGAAGUGUGGACGCCAGUCUGCAUGGAGCCGACCUUGAAAUACCACCCUUUAAUGUUUGAUGUUCUAACGUUGACCCGUAAUCCGGGUUGCGGACAGUGUCUGGUGGGUAGUUUGACUGGGGCGGUCUCCUCCUAAAGAGUAACGGAGGAGCACGAAGGUUGGCUAAUCCUGGUCGGACAUCAGGAGGUUAGUGCAAUGGCAUAAGCCAGCUUGACUGCGAGCGUGACGGCGCGAGCAGGUGCGAAAGCAGGUCAUAGUGAUCCGGUGGUUCUGAAUGGAAGGGCCAUCGCUCAACGGAUAAAAGGUACUCCGGGGAUAACAGGCUGAUACCGCCCAAGAGUUCAUAUCGACGGCGGUGUUUGGCACCUCGAUGUCGGCUCAUCACAUCCUGGGGCUGAAGUAGGUCCCAAGGGUAUGGCUGUUCGCCAUUUAAAGUGGUACGCGAGCUGGGUUUAGAACGUCGUGAGACAGUUCGGUCCCUAUCUGCCGUGGGCGCUGGAGAACUGAGGGGGGCUGCUCCUAGUACGAGAGGACCGGAGUGGACGCAUCACUGGUGUUCGGGUUGUCAUGCCAAUGGCACUGCCCGGUAGCUAAAUGCGGAAGAGAUAAGUGCUGAAAGCAUCUAAGCACGAAACUUGCCCCGAGAUGAGUUCUCCCUGACUCCUUGAGAGUCCUGAAGGAACGUUGAAG
This 1958-nucleotide ribosomal RNA is filed under the name Escherichia coli. RNAcentral describes it as "partial 23S ribosomal RNA". It matches the Rfam family "Bacterial large subunit ribosomal RNA", at positions 908 to 2843 of the family's 2925-position model. Lineage: Bacteria; Pseudomonadati; Pseudomonadota; Gammaproteobacteria; Enterobacterales; Enterobacteriaceae. The record is from RNAcentral.